This 4824-nucleotide long non-coding RNA is filed under the name Homo sapiens (human). RNAcentral describes it as "HSALNT0282750". Lineage: Eukaryota; Metazoa; Chordata; Mammalia; Primates; Hominidae. The record is from RNAcentral.
CCUUCUCGUUGAUGUCGCGCACAAUCUCCUGCUUGGCCGUGAUGGUGAAGCUUGGUCUGGAAGCUCCGAGUUUAUCUUGGGAACUCAAGAGGAGAGGAUCACCCAGUUCACAGGUAUUUGAGGAUACAAACCCAUUGCUGGGCUCGGCUUUAAAAGUCUUAUCUGAAAUUCCUUGUGAAACAGAGUUUCAUCAAAGCCAAUCCAAAAGGCCUAUGUAAAAAUAACCAUUCUUGCUGCACUUUAUGCAAAUAAUCAGGCCAAAUAUAAGACUACAGUUUAUUUACAAUUUGUUUUUACCAAAAAUGAGGACUAGAGAGAAAAAUGGUGCUCCAAAGCUUAUCAUACAUUUGUCAUUAAGUCCUAGUCUCAUUAAUUGUUUUCAAGCUUUUCGCCUACAUUUUAGACUAACCCUGCUUAUUCCUGUGAAUCAAGUAGUGGUCUCCUGCAGCUUGGAAGAAAAAAUAAGGGAUGGGUAAUGUAAAAAUCUGGAUCAAUAUACUGGUUCUGGGCAAUUAUCCUGCAAAUUCUGCCAGGUAAUAAAAGUGAGUAGGGUGCCCAUAAUCCGGAAGUUUCUUUGUUUAGGAAAAUAAAAACAAGGAACUUCAUAGACCCCCCCCAAAGGGGAAUUCUAUAUCUUGACAAGUAAAAUUUUAGAUGGAAAUUAUCUACAACACCACACUUACGGAAAUUGCUAUCCUCACUCUAUUAUUUGCAAAAGGGUUAUACACAGUAGCACCUUCUAACUGAAGUAUUAAACAGAGUUUCCAUUGCUGUCGUAUUUUGCUUAAUUAUUAUCCUUAUAGCAGGGAUAAUAGUUACUAACAAAAAGGAAGCAUGAAAGUUUUACUAUCACUGAGCCUGGUAGGACUUUUUAUUGGGUUUAGUGAUGCAGUUUUAAAUGAAACAUGCCGCUUUUGGAUUAAUACCUCUAGUAAAGGAAAAUUUACAGAUACUUAAAAAUCAAAUCAAAAUUAUUGAUAGGCUCAGGAAAAAUGCCAGCUUCAGCCCUGAGUGGCUACAAACCCUCUUUAAUAAAUUCCAGUCUUCUUUAUGGAAUUGGUUAACGCCUUUAUUAAGCCCUCUCUUGCUUAUAUGUCUUGUAUUGAUAUUUGGACUCUGUAUAUACAAUACUAUAACUCGAAUUGUUUCUUCUCGCCUAGAAGCAAUCAAACUCCAAAUGGUGCUGUAAACUGAACCACACAUGGACAGGCCAUUCUUCCGAGGACCCUUAGAUUGAUCCCAGGGGGAGCCCUAGCUGCUAUUCCCCAUUCAACGCCCCUUUUCAGCAGGAAGUAGCCAGAAGGAGUCGCCGCCCAAAAUCCCCUAACAGCAGUUAGUGUGGCAUCUCCACAGGAAGUAAUGUUGUAGGAGUUACUAAGAAAUUAUUUUAGGCAGAUAGAGAGGAAAAGGGGUCCUUGGGAAGUUUUCAUUUUUUAAAGCAUCUCUGGAAAAGUUUCUUGUAAAGCCCCGGCUCUUAGAGCCAGGCUGGCAACCUUUGAUAUGCAAAUGUAAGCCAUUAGAAACCAGGUCCACCCAGGCCAGGUGUGGUGGCUCACGCCUGUAAUCCCAACACUUUGGGAAGCCUAGGCAGGUGGAUCACCUGAGGUCAGGAGUUCGAGACCAGCCUGGCCAACAUGGUGAAACCCCGCCUCUAAUAAAAACACAAAAAACUAGCCAGGUGUGCUGCUGUGUGUCUGUAAUUCCAGCUACUUGGGAGGCUGAGGCAGGAGAACUGCUUGAACCCAGGAGGCAGAGGUUGCAGUGAGCUGAGAUUGCAUCAUUGCACUCCAGCCUGGGCGACAGCAAGACUCUGUAAAAAAAAAAAAAAAAAAAAAAAAAAACAGCCAGGCGUGGUAGCACGCCUGUAGUCCCAGCUACUUGGGAGGCUGAGAUGGGAGGAUCACCCUCGACUGGGGAAGUUGAGGCUGCAGUGAGCUGAAAUCGCACCACUGCACUCCAGCCUGGGUGACAGACUGAGACCCUGUCAAAUAAAUAAUGUAUGUAUGUAUAUAUGUAUGUAUGUAUGUUAACCUCAUCCCAAAACAUCCUCACAGAACAUCCAGAAUAAUGUUUGACCAAAUAUCUGGGCACCAAUGGCACAUUCAAGUUGACACAUAAAAUUAACCCUCACAAUACCGUACUGUACAACUUUUGGAGUGAAGCUGGAAUGUCAUCGCAUUUCCAAGACUAACUCAGUGUCCACAAAUGAUGCUUAAGUCAUGAGGAUCAUCUCGGAUUUGGAUUUGGAUGCCUGUCAAGCCCUCACUCUUCAGACUAAAUGUCUGAUUUGCAUGGAGAAUUAUCAAGAGAAGCAACAAUGCCAAGCAGACUAUUCCAGGUCAAAAUAGUCAAAUUAAUAAUUCAUAAAUUAUUAUAUGUUUUGAAGGUAUUGCAAAAUUAAAGUUGCAAGAACAGUACAGAUAACUUUUUUCCUGAACCAUUUGAGAGUAGGUUGCAGACCUGGUGCCCCAUCAUUUCUGAAUAUUUUAGUGUGCAUUUUCUACAAACAAGGACAUUUUCCAGCAUAACCACAAUGCACCCAUCAAUGUCGUGAAAUUAAUGUUGGUACAUUACUACCACCUAGUCCUCAGACCCUAUUCAAAUUAUACCAGUUAUCAUAAUAGUUUCUUAUAAUUUAUAGCAAAAUGAUCCAAACCAGGAGCAUGCAUUGCAUUUUUAUGAAUUUUUAAAACAAUUAAGUCUGUGUAGUGAGUGAAGCCACAGUGAUAGGAAUAUAUAAAGGCUUUGCAUCUAGAAUUUGUUCUGAAAACCCUGAGAUUCAAGUAGUACAUUAUUUCAUUUACUAUUUUACACAGAGAAGCCCUCAUUUUUAAGAGUUUGCCUUUCUGAUUUCCACCGGAAAUGAUACUAUCAGUAUCAUACUCAGAAUCUUAAUUACAUACAAGGCACUAACCUCUCACCUGUUUUCAGCUUUGUGUAAAGACAAGGGAUCAAAACAUCCCUUUCUGCUAUUUCAUACUUAAGUGUGGGAGCUGAUCCAAAGGAAGAAUAGUUUCAAAAGUUUGUAGCAAAAAAAAUUUAAAAGGUGAAGAUUUUUUCCUUGAAUGAUUCUCACCUGGCAGAUCUAUGGAAAGAUUAGCUGACUCUUUGGAUCCCUGAAUAUAGUUAAUAGAAAUUUGGAAGGACCAUGUCAAAAUUAACUAAUGUGAACUGACAAAGAUUUGGUGUUCAAAGCAAAAAUUAAACUUUGGAAAAGUGAGCAAGUACUUAAUCAGAAACAAAAAAAAAAAAAAGAAAGGAAAAGUUAGGUGAAAAUGGUUUCCAGGUGUUGUUGCUGUUAUAGUUUGAAUCAUAAAAGUUGUUAAAAGUCUGCUGUAACAAACCAUCAUAGACUGGGUGACUUAUAAAGAACAAAAAUGUAUUUCUCACAGUUCCAGAGGCUGGGAAGUCUAAGAUCAAGGCAUCAGCAGAUUCAGUGUCUGGUGAGGGCCCACUUUCUGGUUCAUAGAUGGCACCUUCUCACUGUCUCCCCACGUGAUGGAAGGGGCAAGAGGUCUCUCUUGGUACUCUUUUAUUAAGGGCACUAAUCCCAUCCAUGGGGCUCCACCUUCAUGACCUAUUCAUCUCCCAGAGGCCCUACCUGCAGAUACCAUCGUAUGGGGGAUUUGAUUUCAGCCUGUGAAUUUGGGGGAAGCGGGACAAACAUUCGUUUUGUAGCAAAAGGAGUAGAGUAAUAUCUGCCAAUAACUGGAGGAAAGAAUUGUUCUUUUAAAACUAUUAAAUUGUUUAAUGGGAUUUAAAUGAUUUCAGGAAUGAAAUGGAAAUCCUGGUAAUGGGUAGAAACAUAGGUAAAUUCUCCUUUUCCACUUACCACCACCUGUGUGAACAACAAUCAUUUCUCAUUAAUAGUCAAGAAUUUGAAGAGAUCAUGAGUAAAAAGUCUUGAUCAGAAAUUGUGUAUAGCUGUUUCCAGCAUAAAACCUUAUAUAAAAUGCAUAUUCAUAGAAGAUGCUCAAGUAUGUCAUGAAAAAUAUGAAGUUUAUUUAAAUAUUUAUACAAAUUAAAGAUUUACUGUAUUCUCUAACAGCGCGUAUUUUCUUUUUUGUAAUAACUAUAUGAAAUAAAUACAAAGUAACACGUUUUUACCAAGCCCCCUUCCCAUCCUUCUCAUCACCCUCAAACUCCCUCCAAAUAGAGUCAGAGAAACAGCCAGAGGGAUGUCUCCACUGAGACACAGGGAGGUCUUGCACCCAGGCAGUUCAGCAGUUCCUGGGCGGGUGGCCCUUCCCAUCUGAGUACCCCUCAAUGUGCCUGCUCCUCCUGGGAUCCUUUCUGCUCCCUUGGGCCUCUGUUUUUGGUCUGCAAUGGUUGGUUAUGUAGAGGGAUCAGUAUUGGGGUUGUCCCAAGCCAGGCUACAGGUUGAGCAGGUAGCCACAUAGGCCACAUAGCAGGACGGGCCCAGCUGGGGACUCUGAUGUCUGCAAUUAGGGGUGGCAGGAAGUAAUGGAUGCACAGGCGCUGACUUGGCCUGGCCUUAAGCCUUAGUCUAGCGGAAAGGUCUGGCUGUUUACCUGCCUUCCUAUUUGGAGCUGAUCCCAGGACCAAACGGGAUGCCAUCGUACCAAGGGCAGGGAGAUGAAGGGAGGCCCUCAGAAGAGAAUGAGGCCUAAAUGCCAGGUAAAGGGCAGGAAGGGGUUCAAUCCCAGCAGCACCUCCUGGUGGUAGUUGGGGAAAUAAAAUGGCCAGAGAGGAGACUGGCCCUGAAGGCAUCUCCAGAGCUUGAGUCCCUCAGUAGCCAACCUGAGCUCCUAAACCCCUCUGGACUAGGUCCCCUUCUCCACUUAACCUGCCUCCUCAAGAAAG